CUUGAGGGAGCCGAGCCACAGCGGCUCGUCGCCGGAACGUUCCUGCCCGUACGUGGCCAGCAGUGCCUGCGCCUC
This 75-nucleotide antisense RNA is filed under the name Streptomyces sp. 3211.6. RNAcentral's name for it is "ASpks TB sRNA". It matches the Rfam family "ASpks TB sRNA". The record is from RNAcentral. RNAcentral also lists the same sequence under 1 other name. Lineage: Bacteria; Bacillati; Actinomycetota; Actinomycetes; Kitasatosporales; Streptomycetaceae.